CUUGACUGCCGGAGGAACAUUA
Molecule: ribosomal RNA, 22 nt
Filed under: Orbilia tonghaiensis
Lineage: Eukaryota; Fungi; Ascomycota; Orbiliomycetes; Orbiliales; Orbiliaceae
Description: partial 18S ribosomal RNA
Source: RNAcentral